Molecule: ribosomal RNA, 661 nt
Filed under: Apiotrichum porosum
Lineage: Eukaryota; Fungi; Basidiomycota; Tremellomycetes; Trichosporonales; Trichosporonaceae
Description: partial 26S ribosomal RNA
Source: RNAcentral
GACGUGGGCGACCCCGGCCAUAAAGGCAAGCUGCAGUCCUCAGUCUCAUCCAAUGUAUGCAGCAAUAGGCUAUAACACUCCCGAGAGAGCCACCUUCCUACUACCUUUAUCCAUCGGACAAAACUGAUGUUGACCCGUUUAAAGGAAGUACACCGAAGAACGGCUGAGUCCAAUAAACAUGAUUCAUGAAUUUCGUUUCCCUUUCAACAAUUUCACGUACUGUUUAACUCUCUUUCCAAAGUGCUUUUCAUCUUUCCCUCACGGUACUUGUUCGCUAUCGGUCUCUCGCCAAUAUUUAGCUUUAGAUGGAAUUUACCACCCAUUUUGAGCUGCAUUCCCAAACAACUCGACUCGUAGAGAACGUAUCACAGAGCACUGAUGAUUGUGUAAAGUACGGGAUUGUCACCCUCUUUGAUACCCUGUUCCAAGGGACUUAUACACAGUUCAGCACGGAAAACGCUUCUAUAGAUUACAACUCGGACAAUCGAAGACUGCCAGAUUUCAAAUUUGAGCUCUUCCCGGUUCACUCGCCGUUACUAGGGGAAUCCUUGUUAGUUUCUUUUCCUCCGCUUAUUGAUAUGCUUAAGUUCAGCGGGUAGUCCUACCUGAUUUGAGGCCAGAGUCAAAGUAAUUGUCCGAAGACGAUUAGAAGCAAACUUCA